Molecule: ribosomal RNA, 810 nt
Filed under: uncultured archaeon
Lineage: Archaea
Description: bacterial SSU rRNA
Rfam family: Archaeal small subunit ribosomal RNA
Source: RNAcentral
ACGGCUCAGUAACACGUGCCUAACCUACCCUCGGGAGGGGGACAACCCCGGGAAACUGGGGCUAAUCCCCCAUAGGGGAAGGGUGCUGGAAGGCCCCUUCCCCCAAAGGGGCCACGUCCGGCACCUGGCGUGGCCCGCCCGAGGAUGGGGGCACGGCCCAUCAUGGUUGUUGGCGGGGUAACGGCCCGCCAAGCCGAAGACGGGUGGGGGCCGUGAGAGCGGGAGCCCCGAGAUGGGCACUGAGACAAGGGCCCAGGCCCUAUGGGGUGCAGCAGGCUCGAAUACUCCGCAAUGCGGGAAACCGCGACGGGGCCACCCCGAGUGCCGUCCGAUGAGGACGGCUUUUCCCCCGUGUAAGGAGCGGGGGGAAUAAGCGGGGGGCAAGUCUGGUGUCAGCCGCCGCGGUAAUACCAGCCCCGCGAGUGGUCGGGGUGUUUACUGGGCCUAAAGCGCCCGUAGCCGGCCCGGUAAGUCACCCCUGAAAUCCUCGGGCUCAACCCGAGGGCUGGGGGUGAUACUGCCGGGCUUGGGGGUGGGAGAGGCCGAGGGUACUCCCGAGGUAGGGGCGAAAUCCGAUAAUCUCGGGAGGACCACCAGUGGCGGAAGCGCUCGGCUGGAACACGCCCGACGGUGAGGGGCGAAAGCUGGGGGAGCAAAGGGGAUUAGAUACCCCUGUAGUCCCAGCUGUAAACGAUGCGGGCUAGCUGUUGGGCGGGCUUAGGGCCCGCCCAGUGGCGUAGGGAAGCCGUUAAGCCCGCCGCCUGGGGAGUACGGCCGCAAGGCUGAAACUUAAAGGAAUUGGCGGGGAAU